Molecule: ribosomal RNA, 397 nt
Filed under: uncultured soil bacterium
Lineage: Bacteria
Description: bacterial SSU rRNA
Rfam family: Bacterial small subunit ribosomal RNA
Source: RNAcentral
AGAUUGAACGCUGGCGGCAGGCCUAACACAUGCAAGUCGAGCGGUAGAGAGGUGCUUGCACCUCUUGAGAGCGGCGGACGGGUGAGUAAUGCCUAGGAAUCUGCCUAGUGGUGGGGAUAACGUUCGGAAACGGACGCUAAUACCGCAUACGUCCUACGGGAGAAAGCGGGGGACCUUCGGGCCUCGCGCCAUUAGAUGAGCCUAGGUCGGAUUAGCUAGUUGGUGAGGUAAUGGACUCGACCAAGGCGACGGAUCCGUAACUGGUCCUGAGAGGAUGAUCAGUCACACUGGACUGAGACACGGUCCAGACUCCUACGGGAGCAGCAGUGGGGAAUAUUGGACAAGUGGGCCGAAAGGCCUGACUCCAGUCCAAUGCCGCGUAGUCGUGAACGAAGGU